GUAGGGAAGAGGAAGAAAAGAGGGUCUGAGAACAGUGGUCAUGGGAACAUUGAGGAAAGCUAAACCUCUUCUUUGCCUCUGGAAAUAGGGGCUGAGAACUGUUUCCCAUGUUUUCCCAAUGCCUCCCAUGCCUAUUGUUCUCAGAUGUUCAUUCCCCUUCCUUUGACUU
This 169-nucleotide microRNA precursor is filed under the name Brachypodium distachyon (stiff brome). RNAcentral describes it as "MIR2118 microRNA precursor family". It matches the Rfam family "MIR2118 microRNA precursor family". Lineage: Eukaryota; Viridiplantae; Streptophyta; Magnoliopsida; Poales; Poaceae. The record is from Rfam by way of RNAcentral.